UACGUAGGUGGCAAGCGUUAUCCGGAUUUAUUGGGCGUAAAGGGAACGCAGGCGGUCUUUUAAGUCUGAUGUGAAAGCCUUCGGCUUAACCGGAGUAGUGCAUUGGAAACUGGGAGACUUGAAUCCGGGAGAGGGUGGCGGAAUUCCAGGUGUAGGAGUGAAAUCCGUAGAUAUCUGGAGGAACAUCAGUGGCGAAGGCGGCCACCUGGACCGGUAUUGAAGCUGAGGCGCGAAAGCGUGGGGAGCAAACAGG
RNAcentral lists this ribosomal RNA (253 nucleotides) under uncultured bacterium. RNAcentral describes it as "partial 16S ribosomal RNA". It matches the Rfam family "Bacterial small subunit ribosomal RNA", at positions 524 to 776 of the family's 1533-position model. The record is from RNAcentral.